AUGAGGACUCAACUUUUGAGAAAAAUCAGCCCACUCUGCUUCUGCGUCUCUUUAGAAGACUUUCUUGCGACCUCUGUCUUCAAGUCCUUCCUUGAAGGACUCCACCAUGUCUGGCCAUCAGCAGGGACAGGUGAGAGAGACACACACAACUUGCUUUUUAAUUUUUAUUUGGUUUUAAAAAAGUCUUUAACUGAGGGAUGUCCCGGUAUUCACUCUCCAUAUUUCUUCAGCCCCAUCUAAGAAUAUCUGCUUCUUGUUCCUCUGUCUUACCUUUAAACAUGCUUUUGAACUGUUCACAUGGGCACAUAUUGCCACCUGUCCAUGUCUUUGCUACCUGUGGCUGAGGUUGCUAUGAGUUCAACAAAACCUGUUUCUUUUUCACCUGGGCUGAUAAUACUUCCUGAACUUUGUAGUUAGAUGUAGCCAUUAGUCUUUGCUAAUCAAACACAGGUCACUUCCAUAUCUGUCUUAUAUAAACCGACCAAAGACAUCUUCCAUCCUCCAUCCUUUUAUGAACAGAGGACCCAGCAGGGAACCUCUGAGGUCCUAAGGGUGGCAGAGCCAUGAGAUGCAGGAGCCUUGUGUUCUGAAGCACUUCCCAGAUGGCCACUAGUGGAACAAUCACACUGCACAGUUGUGUAAAUCCAGCCCUGCAGUAAUUGGGAAGAAAGUCCACAUUCUUGCUGAGCCUCUACUCUAGAGGAAGCGGAUGAAAGAGUUCUGAUGUGUUGAUUACUGUUGACUGACAUUAGUAGGAAUCCAAAAAAGAUACAAGCACCUGUGAGGGUUGGUUGGCUUUCCAGCAGAGCUCAGAGGAAAGAGCCACACCUGGUAAGAAAAGCCACCUGUGAAAGGGUGAGGCUAUACACUGGGCUUGAGCCACAAGGGCCCAGUAAAAUUCUUCGGUGAAACAAAAGAUCUCAGCAAAGGUCAGAUUAGGGGUGUCACCAAAGUCCAUUACUUCAAAUAAAGCUGUCAUUACACUGAGUCAUGGGGCCAAAAAAGCCACAGAACAAAUCGGGCUUGGUGACGAUGUGCAGAAACAAAUGCUGGGUGUGGUUAUCAGAGCAUGGGGAAUCAACUAGAAGCAAAUCCUACUGAAUUUUGAGGAAAGGUUACGGACCAAGAAACUGUAAAUUUAAUUCUUACCCUUUUUUGCCUUUUGGUGCUUAAAACAAGUUUUAGGCCCCCAAACUCACCUGAGCAGAAGGAACCAGUACUGUUGGGCUGGUGCAAAAGUAAUUACUUUGAAUGGAGAAGACUGCAAUUACUUUUGCACCAACCUAAUAUCUGUACAGUCUUGGCAAGAACAUACCAUCUCACUUAGAUGUGGCCAUGGGGAAUAAGAAACAGAGGACGUAAAACAAGAGAGAGGGAGAGAUUUUUCCCAACCCAGAGAGCAGAGUCAGGGCCUUAGCAAGUCAUCUUGCUCC
Molecule: long non-coding RNA, 1433 nt
Filed under: Callithrix jacchus (white-tufted-ear marmoset)
Lineage: Eukaryota; Metazoa; Chordata; Mammalia; Primates; Cebidae
Description: lncRNA (ENSCJAG00000078613.1)
Source: RNAcentral